CAGUAGCCACGGUAAUACGAAGGGUGCAAGCGUUAAUCGGAAUUACUGGGCGUAAAGCGUGCGUAGGCGGUUUGUUAAGUCUGUUGUGAAAUCCCCGGGCUCAACCUGGGAAUGGCAAUGGAUACUGGCAAGCUAGAGUGUGUCAGAGGAUGGUGGAAUUCCCGGUGUAGCGGUGAAAUGCGUAGAGAUCGGGAGGAACAUCAGUGGCGAAGGCGGCCAUCUGGGACAACACUGACGCUGAGGCACGAAAGCGUGGGGAGCAAACAGGAUUAGAUACCCCGGUAGUCCCUGUCUCUUAUCC
This 301-nucleotide ribosomal RNA is filed under the name uncultured bacterium. Its description in RNAcentral is "partial 16S ribosomal RNA". It matches the Rfam family "Bacterial small subunit ribosomal RNA", at positions 509 to 809 of the family's 1533-position model. The record is from RNAcentral.